CAGCCGCAGUCACAGCCUCAGCCGCAGCGGCCGUGCUACCUAGGUGAUAGCGGAGCGGCUGGGUAGGAAGCAAUUGUUCUCAAACUUCACUAGCCCCGUCGGCGCGGACGCUUGUCGAGAAUGCAGAUUCCUGGGUACUGCCAGAUACGGUUGGUGAUCUUGUAGGGCUGGAGUGGAAGCCAUGAAUCUGCAUUUUCAUCAUUUCUGGCCCUCUGCCCGGGCUGGGGUGAUUCACGGGGAUUCGUAGUGGCCCCAAAGGAGCACGCAGAACCUCGGCUGCUGUGCAUUUAUCACCUCUUUUGUUCCCGGAGGCCGCACCCCAGGUCCAGUUUACACAGCUGCCAACUCCUUUUCUUGGUUCCCACUGGAAUCUAGGAAGAAAACUCGCCCUUUACUUCUCCGCCCCACACCCGACGACGGAGUGUCUAGAGAAUUGAGCAUACCACAAAAAAGUUCUCAUUUUGUGUCCUCCCAUCCCAUUCUCCUCACUAACCAAAGGCUAGGAAUUAUCUGUGAAUGUAGGACCACUGGAUUUGCAGUCUUCAUCUGACACUGUGGAGAGUUUCUAGGAAUGAAACAGAUAUAUGGCCUUGGGUCCCCUUUUUUUUUCUUUUUUUUUUUUUUAAUAGAGACGAGCAUCUCACUAUGUUGCCUAGGGUAGUCUUGAACUCCUGGCCUCAAGCAAUCCCCACCCGACUCCGCCUCUCGAAGUGAUGGGAUUACAGGCAUAAACCACCACGCCUGGCCAGAAGGUGCUUUAACACCAAAUCUGAAAAUUGUUCAGAAGAGAAACAUUGAGCAUGAACACCAUCUGUGCGAGUCAUUUACUUAUUGCCCCUCACCUCUAAAUCUACCUUCUGUACUCUUCUUCCCUGUAAUGAUGGGGCUAGUUGUCCUCAAACUGUUUCUCAGACUUCUUUUUAAGCUUGCUUCCUGUUCAGUUCUGCCAAUAGGGGUCACUAGAGAGAGACUGGGAGGCAGAAGGAGAGAAUAUGCUUCCUGUUUUUUCUGUUCUUGUUAAUGUUGCUUACAGGACCAGCAAUGCUUCUUCACCUAGAGACACUUCUCCCAGCAGUGGCAGUGCCACUUCAGCUUCUUUCAGCACUACUGGAAUCAGCCUCAGUGAUUCCCCCUGUACCCGCUCAGAGAUUAUCCACAGCAGCCAGAUGGUUCUACCUUCCACAAAGAUUGUGGUUGCAAUUCUGGGCUUCUAAGUUCUGGUUACUUCAUAUUUUUCCUUUUGUUCCUCCAGCCCUAGAGGUGGUAGCUGCUUUCUGAAGUUAUUAUUUCUAGAUGACUUUUGGUUUUUCAGCCUUUGUAUUUUGCUUUUCAGCCCUCUAAUGCCUGUAUAACCAAUUUCCCUGUAAUAAAUAAAUUUC
This 1379-nucleotide long non-coding RNA is filed under the name Homo sapiens (human). Its description in RNAcentral is "HSALNT0361367". Lineage: Eukaryota; Metazoa; Chordata; Mammalia; Primates; Hominidae. The record is from RNAcentral.